RNAcentral lists this ribosomal RNA (119 nucleotides) under Pteropus alecto (black flying fox). Lineage: Eukaryota; Metazoa; Chordata; Mammalia; Chiroptera; Pteropodidae. The record is from RNAcentral.
GUCUACAGCCAUGCUACCCUGAACAAGCCCCAUCCCAUCUGAUCUUGGAAGCUAAGCAGGGUCAGGCCUAGUUAAUACUUGGAUGGGAGACCACCUAGGAAGACCAGGUGCUGUAGGCG